UACGUAGGGUCCAAGCGUUGUCCGGAUUUAUUGGGCGUAAAGAGCUCGUAGGCGGUUCGGUAAGUCGGAUGUGAAAACUCAGGGCUCAACCCGGAGACGCCAUCCGAUACUGCUGUGACUGGAGUCUGGUAGGGGAUCACGGAAUACCUGGUGUAGCGGUGAAAUGCGCAGAUAUCAGGAGGAACACCAAUUGCGAAGGCAGCUCGCUGGGACGUUACUGACGCUGAGACGCGAAAGCGUGGGGAGCAAACAGG
This 254-nucleotide ribosomal RNA is filed under the name uncultured bacterium. RNAcentral's name for it is "partial 16S ribosomal RNA". It matches the Rfam family "Bacterial small subunit ribosomal RNA", at positions 524 to 776 of the family's 1533-position model. The record is from RNAcentral.